RNAcentral lists this ribosomal RNA (492 nucleotides) under uncultured bacterium. Its description in RNAcentral is "partial 16S ribosomal RNA". It matches the Rfam family "Bacterial small subunit ribosomal RNA", at positions 29 to 507 of the family's 1533-position model. The record is from RNAcentral.
AGUGAACGCUGGCGGUAGGCCUAACACAUGCAAGUCGAACGGCAGCACAGUAAGAGCUUGCUCUUACGGGUGGCGAGUGGCGGACGGGUGAGGAAUACAUCGGAAUCUACUUUUUCGUGGGGGAUAACGUAGGGAAACUUACGCUAAUACCGCAUACGACCUACGGGUGAAAGCAGGGGAUCUUCGGACCUUGCGCGAUUGAAUGAGCCGAUGUCGGAUUAGCUAGUUGGCGGGGUAAAGGCCCACCAAGGCGACGAUCCGUAGCUGGUCUGAGAGGAUGAUCAGCCACACUGGAACUGAGACACGGUCCAGACUCCUACGGGAGGCAGCAGUGGGGAAUAUUGGACAAAGGGCGCAAGCCUGAUCCAGCCAUACCGCGUGGGCGAAGAAGGCCUUCGGGUUGUAAAGCCCUUUUGUUGGGAAAGAAAAGCAGCAGGUUAAUACCCCGCUGUUCUGACGGUACCCAAAGAAUAAGCACCGGCUAACUUCGUG